RNAcentral lists this long non-coding RNA (696 nucleotides) under Theobroma cacao (cacao). Its description in RNAcentral is "long non-coding RNA (TCAC_LNC004796)". The record is from RNAcentral. Lineage: Eukaryota; Viridiplantae; Streptophyta; Magnoliopsida; Malvales; Malvaceae.
GGGAAACAAAAAAUUGGGACAAGAUGCCAACCUCUACCUGCAAAAACGCUUGCCUCCUCUAUAUCGCCACUUUCAUUAUCACCGAAAGUUUUAUCAGUUUUGCAGAUUUGUAUAUUCCAGAGGACACAUGUCAUGUUCAUAUUUUAUCCAUGGGACAAAAAGCAAUGCAAGUGUUCGCUGCACUUACCAAAACAAGGUACCUUCUGCGCUUCUUCUUACAAUCCUGCACAUGAAAAUGACAACAGAAGGGAACGGUCAAAACAGUAAACACAAAUUGAUGGAAUCCAUGCCUUUGUAGCAGACCCAAAUUAGAUCCUUUUCAAGACAGAACGAACAUGCACAAAUUCAGCAACCAAAUUUGGGUAAUAGGAUUAGUUGAAAAUUAACAGAGAUAAGAAACAUCAGUUACAAGUAACUCAAUGAACGAACAUCACAUCACGCCACAUCUAUUAUAGUAUUUGUUUUCCAAUAUCCUAUCACAACGUCGAUCAUUGACUAGAUAUAUUCCUAAAGCAUGAUUGAUAUAAACUCCACUAACCUCAGGUUGGGUUGUCCUUGAUUUGACAAACAUGCAACUUCCUUGUUUGCGAUUUUCGUUUAGGAAAUGCUAUAACUAUCUGUUAAAGGAAGCCCCCUUGCUCUUUUUCUUGGCCUUUCCCUGUUGAGGAGUUACAAUCUAACAAGUAAGCACGAGAG